CGUCAAGCCAGAUACAGCAUUUACCAACUUUAAUAAGCCCAGCCUCACCAAUAAAUCAACUUUCUCACCUGUGCAUUUAUCUACACCUUCUGAAAAGAAGAGAGUCACUAGUUAUGUAAAGAUACAAGCAGCUGAAUGCUCUAUUGAUUCAGCAGAUUAAUUAUAUUCCUGUAGGAGAAAGUAACACAUAAUAUGCGCGAAAUAAUAUCGGACAAGGGAAAGGG
This 224-nucleotide long non-coding RNA is filed under the name Capsicum annuum. RNAcentral's name for it is "long non-coding RNA (CANN_LNC011208)". Lineage: Eukaryota; Viridiplantae; Streptophyta; Magnoliopsida; Solanales; Solanaceae. The record is from RNAcentral.